GCGUGCCUAAUACAUGCGAGUCGAGCGAUGAGGCUCCUUCGGGAGUACGUCAACGGCGAACGGGUGAGUAACACGUGGGUGACUUGCCGCGAAGAUGGGGAUAACUCUGGAAACGGGGGCUAAUACCCAAUGUGCUCGGUGAUUCGGUUCAUCGAGUAAAGCUCCGGCGCUUCGGGAGAUGCCUGCGGCCCAUCAACUAGUUCGUACGGUAACGGUCUACCAAGGCAGAGACGGGUAUGGGGCGUGAGAGCGCGGACCCCCACACUGGCGCUGAGAUACGGGCCAGACUCCUACGGGAGGCAGCAGUAAGGGAUAUUGCGCAAUGGACGACAGUCAGACGCAGCGACGCCGCUUGGGCGCUGAAGGCCUUCGGGUUGUACAUCCCUUUAAUGGGGGAAGAGAAAAAGGACGGUACCCCAGGAAUAAGUCCCGGCUAUCUACGUGCCAUCAGUCGCGGUACAACGUCGGGUACAAGCGUUAUCCGGAUUCACUGGGCGUCUCGAGCGUUGAGGCGGUUCCGUAAGUUGGGCCUGAAAGCUCCGGGCUUAUCUCAGAGAUAUCGUUCAAUACUGAGGGGCUUGAUGA
RNAcentral lists this ribosomal RNA (585 nucleotides) under uncultured organism. RNAcentral describes it as "bacterial SSU rRNA". It matches the Rfam family "Bacterial small subunit ribosomal RNA", at positions 42 to 648 of the family's 1533-position model. The record is from RNAcentral.